UAAAAGGGUGUCUGCCGUACUGAGUGGUACAUCGGACUAACCUCCGGUGGGGUAUGGCUAUCAAGACAUACCCGACACGCAAUUUUUAAAACAGAGGGAAGUUUGUAAGCUUCAACGCUCGGACGCCCUC
Small nuclear RNA from Penaeus indicus, 130 nucleotides. RefSeq annotates it as U11 spliceosomal RNA. The record is from RefSeq and is a predicted model, not a curated record. The transcript has a single exon. NCBI's taxonomy places the organism in Eukaryota, Metazoa, Arthropoda, Malacostraca, Decapoda, Penaeidae.